Molecule: ribosomal RNA, 423 nt
Filed under: uncultured bacterium
Lineage: Bacteria
Description: partial 16S ribosomal RNA
Rfam family: Bacterial small subunit ribosomal RNA
Source: RNAcentral
AUUUUGGUCAAUGGGCGCAAGCCCGAUCCAGCCAUGCCGCGUGCGUGUGGAAGGCCUUCGGGUUGUAAACCUCUUUCGGACGGACCGGAAUCGCGCAGGCUAAUACCCCGCGCGGAUGCCGCUACCAACAUAAGACGAACCGCCUAACUACGUCGUAGCAGCCGCGGUAAUACGUAGGGUGCGAGCGUUAAUCGGCAGGACUGGGCGUAAGGAGUGCGCAGGUGGGUGAUUAAGACAGGCGUGGAAGCCCCGGGCUUAACCUGGGAAGGGCGCUUGUGACAGGUCGGCAAGAGAACGGCAGAGGGGGGUGGAAUUCCACGUGUAGCAGUGAAAUGCGUAGAGAUGUGGAGGAACACCGAUGGCGGAGGCAGCCCCCUGGGCCGAUACUGACGCUCAUGCACGAGAGAGUGGGUAGCAAACAGG